GACGAGUAUAUCGAUUUGAGAAGGGGAAACACCAGAUUUUUGGAAAAGCUUAUGGAGACAGUCAAGGAAAAACUCUUCAACUUCAAUGAUACUAUCAACGAGAGAAGGGUGACUUUCUUUACCGGAGAAGACGACACGGGGACCGUAGGUUUGCUCGCCGAUACCGGAGUUGACAACGGCUUUGAGAAGGAAUUUGAAUUCUUCAAGUCCGAGAUUUUUGGUACGUUUCAUAAGGUCUCGACAGAGCUGAGUGCCAAGCAUUCUAUCCUCGCUCGGUUUGAAACAUUGAUAGUCUAAAAUGUAGCAUUGUUGGUCUCUUUUUGCAUCAAAAUGUUUCCAUAAUUUUAAUGCUAAAUAGAGUAAGGGGAUUGCAUAGAGUAAGAAGAGUGGCUCCAUGAGAGAGAUGAAGAGAUGGAAAAAGAAAAGAACAAAACAGAGAGAGAUUCCCAGAAAUGAAGCAAUGUGUUGAAGAAAAGAGAGGGCUCAGCUCUUAUAGCAAAGGGGAGCAGUUGGGAGACUUAACGCGUUUAUGAAUGCAAAUUGCCAAAUAUAUAUUUACAAUUUUCUAUUCUCAUUUUCAUUUCUUUUAUCCUUUUAAAAGUGUUAUUUAAUUAUUUUGGAUGGGGUGUAAAUUAUUUGCAUUCAAAUGUUUGAAAAUAUAGAUUUAGGAUUUUUCUAGAAUGAAAUAAAAAUAAAUUCAUAUAUUAUUAGGUAUGGGAUGUUUUGACUUUACUUAUAUGCAUGUGGUAAUUGGUAUAAUUAAGUGUAUUAAUUAAAUAAGUUUGUUGCAAAAUAUGUUUUAAUGAUAAAGAAAAUCACCCUAUUAUAUUCUUAAAGUUAUCUUGAUAUUCGUGAAUUGUGCUAUGAAAUAUAUGUUUUUAUAUUCAAUAUUUUCAUAUUUUUAUAGAAAUACCUAACAACAUAUAUUUAAAGUGUUGUGUAUAAAUUGUUAACGUGCAUUUUUAAAACGCUAUUUAUGAAUAGUAGAUUGCAUCAAAUUUCAUGUUAUAUAAUUAUAGUAAAUAUAUAUAGCUAAAGUUAUCAACUUAUUUAUAAAAUAUUUCAAAAAAAAAUUUGUCUGCUACAUUUAAAAUUAUUUUUGAACCAUUUUGCUAUUUGAAUUAAUUUAAAUCCAUGUGUUUUAAAGAAAUAUUUUUCACAUACACAAAUUUUAUUUUGGUAACAUUCCCAAACAACACACUCAAGUUUUCUUUUUAAAAUAUGCACCUAUAUUGAUUAUAUAUAAUAUAUAUGUUGAAUUAAUUCUUAAAACUUUGAGCUUGGUUUUCAUUUUUGGUUUCUAAAUUUUAAAAGUUUAGUUUUAAAACAAGGAAAUACAUGCUUUCAAUUUACUGCAACAACAUGUUAAAUUUGUAAUUUGAAUUCUAAUACUUAAUAAAGUAAGAGAGCUAAAUAAUAGAAAAAUAGAAAUUUAAGAUUCUUCAUGUACGAAGCCAUGAUGGUGUAUUUGUAGCUAUAGUUAGACCUCCUCAUCUUGAAGUUGUCGAGUUACUUAUUGGACUUUGGUUGUAUAAGGGUUGCACCAUCUUGUUUGUCAUUUAGCUAAGGUUCGACUUCAACUUAAUCUCAGUCGGAGCAAGGUCAAGCACAUUGGUUUGGGCCAAGGGCCAAGACAUCUCUUAGAUUGUCGUUUCUACCUCUGACCUUGAUAUUCAUGCUAUCUUUUCAAUUUUGUUGUUCAAUAUUCUUGUCAAAUAUAGCUAUCUUUUGAUCUCAAAUCACUCGUGAUAAAAAUUACUUUCUUUUUUCCACUUGUGUUGUCAGUUUUGUGAUACAGAUUAAACAAGUGUAUAAGUCUAUCUAGUUGUAACAACCUAAAAAUUUAAAGUAAUUUUGUUGCUUAAUUAUCUUGAAUAAUUUAUGACUAUAUUAUUAUGAGUGUUAUAUUCAUUGAUAUUGAAAGUCCAAAAAAAUUAUUUGGAGUAAUAUGUUGGAUUAAUUAAAUAUAUAUGUGUGUAAUUUAUAUUUAAUUAAAGAUUUUGAAAUUUGGGGAAGAUGGUUAUUAAGUAUAAUUAACACUUGAAAAAUUGAUGAUUAUAUUUCGGAAUAUAAUUAUUGAAAAAAAUUAUAGUAUCCCAAAUAAUUAUAAAAUCUUUAUUAAUUAUCUUCAAUUAUUUGGGUAUUGUUGGGAGGGUUGGAGCUAAAGUAGAAUUAUUGCUUUAGGAUAAUUCAUGUUUGAAAUUUUAAGAUAACUUAUUUAUUGAAAAAGAUUUUGGUUAAUUAAGAAAAUUGAGAAUUUGAAUUAAUUUGUGAUCUGGAAGGGAAAGUUAGUUUUUGUGGAAUUAGAAUUAAUUAAGUAUAUAUAUAGGGGUGUGUAUAUUUAAUGAAAUAUCAUUCUAAUCGUUAAAAAAUAAGAUAAUUAAUAAAAAGAGAUUGUAGACUUGAUUGAAUGGAAAAAAUGAUGGAUUUAAUUAGGAGAUGGGAGAAAAGUUUAGAUAAAUGUAUAUUUUUAUUAUUAUUAUUAUUAUUAUUAGUUAUAAAUGUCUAAUGGUUGGUGCAUUUAAGAUUUAAGAAUUGGUUGAGAAAAGAGAAUGAAAAUAAAAAAAAAUGUGUUCAGAAAGGAAAAUGAAAUAACAACCAUGAUGAUGAUAAUAAUAAUAAUAAUUACUAUUAUUUGGAUUUAUAAAUAAGUUUGGAGUUCGUAAAUUGAAAAGAAAAUGAAAAUGAAAAGGUUUUUCAUCUUCUUUCUUAGCAUAACUCCAGUAAUCGUCCUUAUUCGAUCGGAGUUGCCUGUCGUUGCCCUCAAUCAUCACUGCUCACCGAUUGCCCUCAAUCAUCACUGUUCACCGAUUUUACUUUGUUGAUCCAUGUAAUUUUGAAACGUUUUCUUUCAAAACUUGCGUAUUAGAGUAUAGAGUACGAAAUUGAAUCUCCGACCUCAAAAUUGAUAAUACAAAUCUGAGUUAUUAUCCUCGCUCGAAACAAUAAAUGGUGUGAAAUUAAAAAAAAAAAAAGAAAAUUGGUAGAUAGUUAAAUUUUUCUCAAUUCUUUUUAUAUACGUAAACCCCCUCCCUACACCUUAACUUAUCAAAAUCUUAAAUGACUGUCCACGGGAGACAAGCCAUUACUCCAUAGAAAAAUAGGUAAAUCUCUUCAACACAAAUCAAAAAAUAAAAGGAAACCCAAUAGUAAUAAAUGCAUGAUUUAUAUAUAUAAACAUAAAAAAAAUUCUCAACCCAUAUAAAUUUUGAAAACAAAUAGAAGUAAACUUUCCAACACUUGAAUCCAAUAAAAAGAAAACCUAUAUUAACAUGAUCAACUAAACUUCCAACAUCAAAAUAAAUUUUUUUUAAGAAAUCUCUCAACAACUAAUAACAUUUUUCCUUCAAUAAAAAAUCAAAUCAAACUCUCUUUUUUUCUUUUCCAUUUUUUCCAUUUUUUCUUAUUUGUUGAGAUUCAAAGUGACUUGAAAGUAGUUGCAUCUUCCUUUUGAAUCCAUCCAAAGGUUUCCAUGAAAGGGUUAGCCAAAGACAAUGGUGGAUAGCUAUUAAUGCAAUCUUCCCAUACAUUACCCUUUUUUCCACCCAACUCUCUCACCACUUCCCACAAACAACUAUUGCAUUUAAACCCUGCUCCAAAGUUAAUCAUCAAUACUUUAUCUCCUUUCUUUAGCCUUUUUUUGGCUUCCAUAUACCCCAAAACAUACCACAGGCUACUUGCCGACGUGUUUCCGAAUCGAUGAAGGGUCAUUCUGGCUGGCUCGAGAUCAUGUUCGGUUAGGUUUAGACCCUUUCCAACCCCAUCUAUCACUGCUUUUCCUCCUGUGUGUAUGCAGAAAUGCUCUGCUCCGGUUUUGAAGUUUGCCAUUGGCUUUGGCCAUCGGGGCUUCGAGGAGCUAGCUAGGGAGAUUUUGUGUAUUAUUGUUAGGAUUGUUAGUCGGAAUAUCUCUGUUAUUGGGAGGAUUUUUGGGGCGAUCUCUCUUAGAUUGUCUGUGAAUGCUCUUAUUGCUGCCCUUGGGAGAUUCUUUCCUAGAUGGAUACCUUAUACAAAGGAAGAAGAACUUUUAUUAUAAAUAAUCUGCAAACAAAGAAUAAAAAUUUAAUAAAUUUAGUUCACCAACUACUAUGUAUUAAUAUUAACUACAUUCACGAACCAGAGGCAAAUUUAACAAUAGAAUAUAAAACCUAAAAAUAUGUAUGCAAGUAAGAUUCUAAGUGAAAAGAGUUUUUAUAUAUCACCUCUCUUGAACCCUAAAAAAUGGAUUAAAAUAAAUGGUCUAAAUAAAAAUAGAAUAAUAAUUAUCGUAUAACUGUAGGUUGGUCAUAUUCAUGGUGAAAGAUAACAUACUUAAGGCAUUUUGACAAAGUUAAGUGAAAGAAAAAAAAUUAUUUAGUAAUAAAGUUCUGCAAUAAUAUGAAUAUGAGAUCUUAGUAAUGGUUGGAAGAUAGAUAAUUUAACGAUCACAUGCCCCCUUUAACUAUUAAAUACAGUCUUAUAAAAACAACUAUUUAAUUAAAUCCAUAAAAUAACUCUAUUUUUUUACAACGAUUGGAUAUAGAUUUAAUCAACGUAUUACUAAUAAUCUCGUACAAUGUAAAUAUUCGAUUUACUUUUAUAAUUUCUCUUUGUCACAUCAUGAUGCUUUCAUCAAAGUAAUAAAUAAAUAACGUCUUUAGAUAAUUAAUUAGAAAUACUUUAUUUCAAAAAAAAUUUGGAAAAGAUGGUGAAUUUAAUUUUGAGAAACAAUUAUGAAAGGGAGUGGUCAUAUAUAUGUACUAUUUGUUUACCUAAGUGGCCUUGGUCAUCUUCUUUCUGAUAACAACAAUCAUAGGACUCAUCUUGAGCUCCAUGGUGAGUUCUGACUAGACACUUGAGCUUCAACAUAGCUUUGUUUUUCAAACUUCUUUUAUUAGUCAAGAGUAUGGCAGCGCCACCGGUUCGAAAUAGACAAUUCGCCAAAAUCAUGGAUCGGUCGUUACCGGAGUACCAGUUUGGAGUGAGUGACUCGGACGUAACAACAAUGCCAUAUGAGUUCAUGUGUGAUUUAAACAUUCUCCUCAUAACAUCCAUAGAAAUAAGACUAGCACUGCAUCCCAUUCCACUUAAAUUGAACACUUUUAUGUCUUCCCUCAUUUUAAACCUAUAUAUUGAAAUCAAUAUAUUUUAACAUCACAAGUUUUAGAAAAUGACAUUAAAGAAGUUCGAAACUCAAAUCUCAUAUAUCUUCGAGAGAAAAUGACAUCUAAAAAGUUCAAAUAUAUAGAAUAUUCGUAGAUCCAAAAAUUUAAGUUGAUGAAGUUACACUAAAUCUUACUUGUUAAUAAGCAUGGAGGCAAGAGAAGGGGAAGUGGAGAACAUGGAGAUGUUGACCACGAGUAUAUCAAUUUGAGAUGGGGAAAUGCCAGAUUUUUCGAAGAGCUUAUGGAGACAGUCAAGAAAAAACUCUUCAACUUCAACGAUACUAUCAACGAGAGAAGGGUGACUUUCUUUACCGGAGAAGAUGACAUUGGGACCGUAGGUUUGCUCGCCGAUACCGGAGUUGACAACGGCUUUGAGAAGAAAUUUGAAUUCUUCAAGUCCAAGAACUUUGGUACGUUUCAUUACGUCUCGACAGAGCUGAGUGCCAAGCAUUCGAUCAUCGCUCGGUUUAUAGCAUUGGUAGUCCA
Molecule: long non-coding RNA, 5627 nt
Filed under: Cucumis sativus (cucumber)
Lineage: Eukaryota; Viridiplantae; Streptophyta; Magnoliopsida; Cucurbitales; Cucurbitaceae
Description: long non-coding RNA (CSAT_LNC000346)
Source: RNAcentral